Stenotrophomonas chelatiphaga is the source of this 94-nucleotide non-coding RNA. NCBI's taxonomy places the organism in Bacteria, Pseudomonadati, Pseudomonadota, Gammaproteobacteria, Lysobacterales, Lysobacteraceae. The record is from Rfam.
AAUCGCCGAGCUGGAGAGAGAUCCGCAGGGAUCCGCCGAAGGGGCACGCGGACUCGUCCGCUGAACUCUCAGGCAAAAGGACAGCGGGAGCGGC